Long non-coding RNA from Gasterosteus aculeatus aculeatus (three-spined stickleback), 550 nucleotides. Lineage: Eukaryota; Metazoa; Chordata; Actinopteri; Perciformes; Gasterosteidae. The record is from Ensembl.
GGCACAGCACCCUUUUUUGGUUUGGACAGACCACAAGAACCUGCAACCGGGAUCAAGAAAUACCAAGCCUGACGCCUUAUCCCGUCUUUUCAGCCCGGAGCCCGUGGCCAGGGAACCUGAGCCCAUCCUCCCACUACACUGUGUGGUUGGAGCGGUUACCUGGCCUAUAGAGACCAAGGUGAAGCAGGCCAACGGUCCCUUGCCCUUCCUCAUGUGUCACCGGUCUGAUUGUCUCCCCUGAUUCCUGAUUGUGUCCACCUGUUCCCACAACUCCCUCAUGGGUACUUAUAGUCUGCGUCGCCCCUUGUCCUGUGCCAGUGUGUCUUGUUGUUUUGCCCUGCACACCAGCCCUCACGUCACGAGUCAAGUCAAGUCCGAUAACGUUUGUCACGUCCUUUUGAUCCCUGUUACGUUUCCUCGUUUAAGAGAGAUUUUGAGUUUUUGCCUUUUGAAUUUUGAUCUCAACCUUUUUCCUCAUUAAGAGAGAUUUUGAGUUUUUUCCUUGUUAUUAAUAAAAGCAAUAUCAGCUGAACCCUCUGCGUCCGAGUCC